AAAGAAUACUCUGCAUUUGGAAAAGAUUCAGACAUCCUCUUCCUCCUCCUCCUCAAGUUCUUGAUCAAGGUUAGUGCUGGUUAUUUUCCAUGUGCCCUUUCAGAUCCACUAUGCUGUUCCUGGCUGCUGCUGUCUGUUCUGGGGGGAUGGAGCUGUGUGUCCUGCUCCACCUGGGCUUUCCGCCCUUUGGAUUCAAUCGGCUUCAGCUGUUAGAAGGAAAGAGCAGGAGAAUGGAGAGAACUAGAAUUCUGGUAUUUAAGUUAAGGAAUCAACCAAAUUUGCAGUUUGCCUGUCAUUUUCUUGUCUCUGCAAAGCAUAAAGACCCACGUUAUUAGCCUUUUUACGAAGUCUUCUCACCUGCCUCAGUCUCCCACCAGAUAAUUCUUUCUUCUAUAAUGAUAUCAGCUUAUAAUUAACUUUGCAAGAAGCUGUAAUAGAAGAAUCAAACUCUGGUUGGCUCUAAGAUGGAGGCUCCAGGUCUCAGGCAGCAGCAGCAACAUUCUAUAAUCAGGAUUUGUCCACAUUCCUUGAGCCCCGCUGCAAAGGAGGAAGAAGAACAUGGAGGGUGGGGCAGGGCUGAUCUUAGAGCAGGCACAAGAUGUGGCCAGUUCACGAAGACCACUGAGAAGAACCGCAGUUUCCUCAUUGUUUCUCUACCUCCCCAGUCUUGCUCAAGAAAAGGACUGAAAUUUAAUAUAUAAUUCUAUUCUCUUUAAGACCUUGACUGAGAAGAGAGAAGGGGUAGUAGACAGCACAAUAGGUUAGUUUAGGGAUAGGUGUGUGGAGGGGAGAAAUCAGGGUGAUUUGCUUGCUGAGAAGACAGAGUGGUUCCUGGAGGCAAAGCCUGCUCACGUGAAAAAAGAAGCCUACUUCUACCAAAGCCUUGGCAAGCAAGUGAUGCUAGCACUUGGAAAAUGAACCACACAUUGAAGGGAAUGGAGCUCAUCGAGUUAACAACCUGACUUGCUUGUUCAGCUGUAGACUGUAAUAGUUAACAUUUAUUGAGCGCAAACGGUGACUUGAGGACUCCUCUAAGCAUCUCACAUAUAUUAAAUGAUGAAUUAAUUAAAUGCUUAUAAUAGUCCUAUGAUCUUGGUGCUAUCAUGUAUACACUUUAAAGUUGAGGAAUCUGUAGCACAAAUGCUUAUACCCCAGAUCAUUCAGGUGGUUUGGGUUCACUUUUAACCACUAAUCCAUGCCACCUUUCUACUGAUUUUCUCUGCACCUUUUUUGAGUACUGAAUUUAUCCUAGGAGAAGUCUAUACCCUACUUCUACCACCACUGUCUAAAUAAAGAUGGAGAAGGACUGAGGUUUUAUACA
RNAcentral lists this long non-coding RNA (1321 nucleotides) under Sus scrofa (pig). RNAcentral describes it as "lncRNA (ENSSSCG00015005183.1)". Lineage: Eukaryota; Metazoa; Chordata; Mammalia; Artiodactyla; Suidae. The record is from RNAcentral.